UUUUGGACAAUGGGGGCAACCCUGAUCCAGCAACUCUGCGUGAGGGACGAAGGUCUUCGGAUCGUAAACCUCUUUUGCUAGGGACGAACACCCGCAAGGGUCUGACGGUACCUAGCGAAUAAGCACCGGCUAACUCCGUGCCAGCAGCCGCGGUAAUACGGAGGGUGCGAGCGUUAAUCGGAAUUACUGGGCGUAAAGCGUACGCAGGCGGUUUGUUAAGCGAGAUGUGAAAGCCCCGGGCUCAACCUGGGAACUGCAUUUCGAACUGGCAAACUAGAGUGUGAUAGAGGGUGGUAGAAUUUCAGGUGUAGCGGUGAAAUGCGUAGAGAUUUGAAGGAAUACCGAUGGCGAAGGCAGCCACCUGGGUCAACACUGACGCUCAUUACGAAA
RNAcentral lists this ribosomal RNA (390 nucleotides) under uncultured bacterium. RNAcentral's name for it is "bacterial SSU rRNA". It matches the Rfam family "Bacterial small subunit ribosomal RNA", at positions 362 to 758 of the family's 1533-position model. The record is from RNAcentral.